Molecule: non-coding RNA, 31 nt
Filed under: Homo sapiens (human)
Lineage: Eukaryota; Metazoa; Chordata; Mammalia; Primates; Hominidae
Source: RNAcentral
UGAGGUGGUAAAAUGAACAAGCACUACGGUU